GAGCCGCUCCGAGGGGCCCACCCGCGAGCAGCGGGGAAGGCGGGGACCCGGGCCCCGCGGGCCUGCAGCGCCCCCGCACCCGGUUCCACGCGCCCAGGGCCGCCCCCGCGGAGAGAGGGGGCGCGAGGGGCGCGCCUCUCGCUCGGACACCCUCUCCCAGCUCGCGCCCCAGGUAACUUAAACCCAAUUAUAAAUGGCUUUGGCUAUAAAGUGUUCUUGAAUGAAAACGUUUAGGAAGUAGGCCUGGAUUCAGAUGCUUCAGAGGCUCAAAGGAAACAGGAAUCGUGGCUAACCAAAUCCAGCCCAACUGCUUCCUUGUUCACAUGGGGAAAUCGAGGAAGGCCCGGGGAGAGGAAGGCCUGGGGAGAGGAAGUUACUUGCCCAAGUUGCCCAGUUAAUUAGCCACAGAACCCAUGUCCCCCAACUCUGAAACAAGUUCCAGUUAAAGUCUUCACUGAUAACUUUAAAUCCUCCACUAACCAAGGGAGUCAUCUUUGCAUUUGCACAGAGGAGAUGGGAAAAUCACAAAGCCCUUAAGGUCCAGAAGAAAUGAGUGUCACUACGUUGGGCUCCCAGGCUGUGCAACAAGCUGUGGACGGAGAUGUCCGGGCAGGGAGCCCGGUCCAGCUCCCCACCCAUCGCAUCAUGGAGUCAGCCGUCUCCUCUGGGGACUGCACCCUCUGGGUGCUGAGAAAUCCAAAUGGCUCUUUCUCAUGCAGCCGCCCCAAGUGGGCAGGAUGGCCCUUCUCUUGAUUUGUUUCCUGCUUACUUUGUGAGAGUCAAAGUGCAUCCUUCAGGACCAAAGUGGCCAAGGGGCCAGCAUGUUAUUUAGAGUGAUCAAAAUGGACCAUUUUCAACUUGGCCCUAUUUCAGCUCCAGAGCUGUGGUUUCCACUUGCUUUUACUUAUCUGUAUUUUCUAACAUUUCUUUAGCAAAUUUGUAUUACUUUGGCAAUUAGAAAAAAUGACCAGUAAUUUUUAUAAAAGGAUUUGUGUUUGAUUUCCUUUCAGAAAGGCACUUUCAUUUAUUAAAAGAUCACAAUGAGAAGUGAAAUUAAGUUGAUCUUUCUCUCUGGCAAGGAUGUGUGGGGAGGAAUGGGGAGGUGAAUGCUGGGAGCAGAAGCCACAGCUGCAGAGCACUGCAGUGAGUGAAGGCUAGAUCAGGAGACUGGACCAGGAGGCUGGACCAAUUGGCUCUGUGGUCCUAGGCAAGUCACUCAGUGUCUCUGGGUUUCUAUUGCUAGAUGUUUGGUUUCAUUAUUUCUGGAGUUCUUUCCAGGAAUUCUCUGUAUGGAUACAGUCUUUGAGCUUUAGUGAACGUUCAUAUACGCUGUAGGAGAACAUGUAAUGGCUCAGAAAUGUGUUCAGCAUAAAUUCUGUUUGUCUUUGCGGUCCUGUGAGACUGCUGAAAGUUCUGCUCAGCUUCUCUGCUUCUUAGCAUUUGGUUUCUUCUCAGCUUCUCAGUCUCUCCGUUUAGCUCUUUAUGAAUUGGCAAAUUCAUGGAAAAGAGCACAUAGAAUGUCAGGCCCCUGCUCCAUUCAUUUCUCUUCACCCUGAGAUCUUGAUCCCUCAAGUUCUGGCUUCCUGGAUAGCUCUUUCGUGCCUUCUAACAGAUUUUUAUUUUCUUUGAACAAUUCUACCCAGGUUUUCUAAUUGUUUAUGGAGAAGAUUGAUCUUCACAAGCUAGUUUUUUCAUAGGCAAAAGCAAAAGUCUCUUCCUGUGUUAUUAAGUGAAAAUGGCUGAUUAUAAAAAGGCCCUGGGUCAGGAGGUUGCCGAUUCCAGGAAGAAUCAGACCUUAUCCCUGCCCUUGAGUCUCAAGAAGAGGAAAGGAAAACAAAUAAGCAUAGUACAGUGUGAAAAGUGGGACUGUGGUCAAAUUUCAGUCUGCAAACUCAGGUGAGUGAGAACGGUAACUUUCCUGGUAAGUGAACUCAGUCUCUG
This 1941-nucleotide long non-coding RNA is filed under the name Homo sapiens (human). RNAcentral describes it as "non-protein coding lnc-VGLL4-6:6". The record is from RNAcentral. Lineage: Eukaryota; Metazoa; Chordata; Mammalia; Primates; Hominidae.